This 45-nucleotide non-coding RNA is filed under the name unclassified sequences. The record is from Rfam.
UCGGUUCCGGUUCACGUCCUCAUCUCUGUGGGCGACCCGGCGACC